UGAGUGCGUAAUUUGGAGACUCGUAUAAUGCCGGGGAUAUGGCCUGGCAGUCUCUACCGGGCAACCUUAAAUUGCCUGACUACGAGGUCGGUUUUUCAUUAU
This 102-nucleotide non-coding RNA is filed under the name Alicyclobacillus acidoterrestris. RNAcentral's name for it is "Guanine sequence". It matches the Rfam family "Purine riboswitch aptamer". Rfam says of the family: Riboswitches are metabolite binding domains within certain messenger RNAs that serve as precision sensors for their corresponding targets. Allosteric rearrangement of mRNA structure is mediated by ligand binding, and this results in modulation of gene expression. The record is from RNAcentral. RNAcentral also lists the same sequence under 1 other name. Lineage: Bacteria; Bacillati; Bacillota; Bacilli; Caryophanales; Alicyclobacillaceae.